Molecule: long non-coding RNA, 3771 nt
Organism: Dicentrarchus labrax (European seabass)
Lineage: Eukaryota; Metazoa; Chordata; Actinopteri; Moronidae
Exons: 5
Source: RefSeq, a predicted model, not a curated record
UCACCUUCAGGAACACAAAUCCAAACACGUAAUUUAGUGUUUCAUAAAAACACUAAAUGGUGACGAUCAAUGUCAAAUUGAUUCUCUGUUGUCUGUUACUGAAGUUGGAGCUGAGUUCUUACUGAAGAUGGUUGUUUGAUUAUCCAGUAACAUUAUUCACAUUUUAAUGGAUUUUUCUUUGAGUUUUAAAGACAGAGUAACAUUUUUCCCUCUUCAAACAUUUGUUGCUGUGGUUGGAAAUUAUUUCAUCAGAAAAUGAUCAUAUGUUUUAGAUAAUUCAAACUUAAAUUAAAUGAAUAAUAAGAUAAUUUAUGAGUGCAAAUAUCCAGUUUUUUAUUUCAUACAACAAGGUUGGUUUGAAUGUUUGCACCAUUGUUCAAAUUAAUAAUUUGGGUCCUAAAUAGAGAGUGUAUCCACUUCUUCAGGCGCCACUACACCACUGACUGUGUGUCAGUCUUCAGGUUGUGGGUUUGAUCCUCAGCUGAUGCUGAAUCGUCUGACAAUCUUAUAAUGUGUCCGUUUCUUACAGUUUGAAGGCUGAAGUCUCUGCACGACUGCACUCGUAGCUGCAGAGCCUACAAGGAUUCACCGGCUGAGUUGACUGUUUGUUUGGUGGAAGGGACACUGCAGCUGCUGUGUCGGCCACUGGAGGGCGCUCUGCCGUUGUUGACUUCAGGAGGACUGCUGGAACUAUGGAAGAGUCUUCAGGUUGGUCCACUUUCCAGUUGUUGGUGAACACAGUAUGUUUUUCUUUCAUAUCACUACUAGUGUAUAUUCUGUAAACACAUAAAUAACACAAGAGGUCCAAAAUGUAAUUCACCUGCAUGUAUAAAACUCUUUAAUUCAUGAAUAAAAAAUAUUGAAUGUACAUUAAUAUUAAUAAAUAACUCCACUCUGUUCCUCAGUGAACUUUCUGGUCAAGAGUUCUGAGUUAACAUUUAUCAGUAAUCAACAAUAAAUAAUGAACUGCUUUCAUAUGAAUUCAUGUUAAGUGUUGCAGUUCUUCACUCUGACCACUGGAGGGCGCUCUUCAUUGAACUGAACUCUAUUAUAUUAUUAGAUUUUAAUUCUUACAUUGAUCUUUUACAGAGAAACAUAAACAAUUACAUACAACAUGUUCGACAUUAAUUUCUGUGAAAGGUGAGGAAGUCUGCUAAAUGUUCAAAAUAUAUCAGCUGGAAGAUUGUAAUUGAAUUUUUACAUUUGGUGCAACAUAGCAGAAGAUUAAUAAGGAUAUAAAUAAAUAUAUAAUUAAAUAUUCAUCUCUUUCACCUACUUUAGUUACUCCGGUUAGUUCAGAAUGAAAAAAAGUGCUUUACACUAAAUCAGAAAAGCUGUAAACAUAUUCCUGAAUGACGACUACCCAGACAUAUCAAUCAUUUAAUAGCUAUAAUAUAAAAUAAUGUAUAUAUAUUUUCUAACGUGUGUCUGUAUUUCAUUAUCCUCCACUGAUGUCCUGUUGGAGGAAGAGGAUCCUCCUGGAGCCCCAGUCUGGAUCAGGAGGACCCACCAGAGUUCAGCACUGAUCCAUUGAAACCUGUGCUCCCUGUAGUUCUGCUCUUUAUGGAGGACUGCUGCUGACACGCUCUGUGGGAACUAUAGAAGAGUCUUCAGAAAUGAAGGAAAUUGUGGGUCCAGAAUAAACUCCUCUAACCCAAAUCCCAUCGCUCCAGAGCCCCGGACCCUCAAACACACACGGCUGUAACCAUCUUCCACUGUGAUGCUGUGGUUCUGCCAGAUGCCGGUGCGGACCAGUUGGGGUUUUCCACAAAGAAGACUUCCUUGUGGGAAAACCCCAACUGGUUGGAGGCAGGGGGGGAGAGAGAGGUGCCCUGUUGCCAGUGUUAUGCAUGUUAAUGUUGAAUAAAAUGAUUUUAAAAUCCAUAACCCCCUGCUUUUACCUCUCUGGAAACCCGGGAGGGGACACGGCCCCCUCCUCUCCCUCUGCAGCGGGGUGAGGCUCCAGGAACCGGGCACCGAGCGAGCCUCGAACCAGACACUUCUGCAUUCUGGCCGCUCCCACGCACACUGCGCCACCAUGCUCCUUUCACACUAGAACAUCUUCUCCGGGCGCUUUUAUCUUUUUACUUUGGCCGCUGGAGCACAAAACACACUGAGCCUCAUAAGAGAAUCGAACACACAACCUCUGGUCUCCUGACCACUCUUCUAACCCUCAGCACUGUUUGAUCUGAGACACUUUAUCUAUAUUUCUAACAGCUUUUCACUUGUUUCUUUGAACAUUGGACUCUAAAAUUCACAGUUGAGCGAGGCUCCAACCCACAUCCUCAAAUCUUGUGUUCAGACAAUCAUUUGUUUAUUCACUGAGCUACACAUGAGGACGGUAGAGUACACGUUAGUUGUUGCUUUUCUUUACAUCUUUGAGGAGAAAACACAGAAAACUGUCAUUAGAGGACAACCUGGGUUCAAUCCCUCCAUCCUACAGCCUAAGAGCUCAGCACCUUAUCUCACUGAGCUACACCUGAGGAGUGGAAGUUGCUGCUUGGUAGUUGUAUUUAUUGUUCACAUUAAUGAGAAGAAACCUUUAAAAGUCUCAGGAUGCAUAAGCUGGAUUUGAACCUUCCACCUCUGGUCUCAACCACAUCAGUUACUUAUCUUCCUGAGCUAUUCCUCCUGAUGGCUUUUGGUUUUUUUGUCUUUCUUUUACUUUUACUGCAUUUUAUUUAUAUUUUAAACUGGAUAGAAGUCAGAUCUACAACCUGGAGGGUUAUAUGAGCUACAACAGAGCUCCUUGUGUCCCAGGUACAACAGUCCUGCUUCCCUGCACAUUUAUUAGUACUUUGGAAAAUAUACCUCCCUGCAGAGAUAGCUCAGUGAGAUAAGCAGCUGAUGUUGAUAUCUGAGGUGGAAGGUUCAAAUCCAAGCACACCUCUUUCAGUUUUCUCUUCAGCAACAUGAACAAUAAAUACAACAACAAACCAACAACUUCCAACCCUCAGGUGUAGCUCAGUGAGAUAAGGUUCUGCUAUCUGAUCCUUUAAACGUGGAGGGAUCUAAUCCAGUUUGUCCUCUAUUGACAGUUUCUGAGUAAUUGUAAAACCAUUGGGGGGGCGUGUCCCCUUCCUAAGACCGAAGAGACAUCGUACAUUGCUACUAUAUUAAGAUGAUUCCUCUGACAAUAACUUUCAUCUUGUUUUCAGUCAGUUGGCUGUUUGUCACUCCUCAUUAACCUGAUUGAGUCCACCUGAUCACUCCUUAUUUAAAGGCCGCUCUCUUUCGUUCACUCGUUCACCUGCAGUUCUGAGUAACUUCCCCAGGUGUCGGACCGCGUCCUCCUUCAACCCUCAAACACAAUAAAUCAUCAGAACUUGGAGUUGUGUUCAUUUAAUCCUUGGUGCACACAUUCAAAGCAACCUCAGGAGAGAACAGAGAAUUAUGGAUUUGGAUUUUAGACAAAAUACACACUCCACUUUGUUUAUAGUCAAACUGUACAGACAUUAGAUAGUGAGUUGAGUUUCUGGAUAAUUCUCUUAUUCUCAUAAAUAUUUAUUAUUCAUCUAACCAUCUAACAUCCACAUUGAGUCUGACUGAUCAGUCCUUAUUUAAAGUGUGCUCUCUCUUCUGGUACUAAUUUUAAUUUUAUUCUAAUUUAAUCUUAUUAAUAAACUUUAAGCUAAUGCUUUAACUGAGAACUUUAUUUAUCCUUGUUUAACAUGAACAAGAUGAAUGUGUGUCCUCCUGCUAACUCCUAAAGUUAAACACUUUUGAUGACAUUGGGAACAUUGUUUGGGAAAAUAAACUUUUUUUUAACGC